CCCAGCUGAGGUGAGGGAGAAAAGGGGAGCCCUCAACACCCCCCAAGGAGGCUGGAGCAGCCAGGGGGGCUCUGGGCUCGCCUGCACCCCUGAGCCCCCCUCUGAGCGCAGUCCCAAGUGGGGGGUCUUAGGGGACCCCAGGGCUGCUGCCGUGCCCAUACCCAGGUCACCUGCCUGCCCAGUGCCUCCCAGCCUGGCUCUCACCUGAGCUGCCAGCUGCGAUGCCGGUGGCCGGUGUCGUUCUGGAGCUGGUGGCCAAGGUGCUGUUGGGCCCAGGGCUCACAGUGGGUGUGGUGGAGUUGGGAGUAGGAGCGGGCCCAGAGGGCCUGGGUGAGGAUGGGGCUGGCACUGCUGUCGAGUUGGGUGGAUGCCCCGUGGAUCUGGGCACACUUGGGUGGGAUGGAGUCGGUGCCAUGGAUGUGUUGGAUGGAGGUGCUGCUGGUGCCAGUGUCCUGGGUGAAGAUGGUUCCAUGGUGAUGUUGGAUGGAGAUGCUGGAGGUGCUGUUGAUCCCAGUGUUCUGGAUGGAGUCAGUGUGGUGGUGUUGGAUGGAGAUGCUGGAGGUGCUGUUGAUCCCAGUGUCCUGGAUGGACUUGGUGUGGUGGUGUUGGAUGGAGAUGCUGGAAGUGGUGUUGAUCCUGUUGUCCUGGAUGAAGAUGGUUUCAUGGUGAUGUUAGAUGGAGAUGCUGGAAGUGGUGUCGAUUCCAGUGUCCUGGAUGGAGUUGGUGUGGUGGUGUUGGAUGGAGAUACUGGAAGUGGUGUUGAUCCCAGUGUCCUGGAUGGAGUCAGUGUGGUGGUGUUGGAUGGAGAUGCUGGAAGUGGUGUUGAUCCCGUUGUCCUGGAUGAAGAUGGUUUCAUGGUGAUGUUAGAUGGAGAUGCUGGAAGUGGUGUCGAUUCCAGUGUCCUGGAUGGAGUUGGUGUGGUGGUGUUGGAUGGAGAUACUGGAAGUGGUGUUGAUCCCAGUGUCCUGGAUGGAGUCAGUGCCAUGGUGGUAUUGGAUGGAGAUACAGGAGGUGCUGCUGAUCCCGGUGUCCUGGAUGGACUCAGUGACACGGCUGUCCCUGAGCUGCUUAGAGCCACUGUGGAGGAGACAUUGGUGCCAUGUCCUAGACCUUGGAGGAGAGAGCUGGUCAGCAAGGACACAGCAGGGCCCUGGCAGGGGCAGGCAGGGCCCCAGGAAGGGCAGCAGCACCUGCCUGGGCUCCCGGUGCCACAGGGAUCAUUUCCCAGGUGUUUUUCAUCACACACAGAAAACUGGGAUUUAGCCAAUAUGGGCUCCCAGAAAUGCAGGGUCAGAAAGAGCCUCCCGACCGGUUGUUGCACAAGCAGAGCAGCGUGGCAGCAGCAGGUAAGUGCCACGGCACGGGGACAUGUGCCAGCCCAGCCCUCGUGGCACCCACCAGACACCCUCAGGGCCGGGCGUGAUGGGGACUCCGCUGGGGCCACGUGGGACGUGGUGGUGUUUUCCGGGCAGUGCCCUUAUCUGCCCAAGUCCUGUUUGCACAAGAGGAGGAGCAGGUCCAGCCUGGCCCCAGGGGGACACUGGAGCAAAAUGCCUCGUGGCAGAGCCAGCACCCAGCGCCAACACCCAGGGGCACAGCGUGGCCGCGGGCUGGGGGUCCCCACGGCUGCCGUGCCCACCAGGACAGGCUGUUCNNNNNNNNNNNNNNNNNNNNNNNNNNNNNNNNNNNNNNNNNNNNNN
Long non-coding RNA from Manacus vitellinus (golden-collared manakin), 1700 nucleotides. The record is from Ensembl. Lineage: Eukaryota; Metazoa; Chordata; Aves; Passeriformes; Pipridae.